CCCACCCUACUCCCGGAAGCCCAUUUCCAGCCCCCAGGCCAGGCCUUGCCCCCAGCGCUGACCUGCACCCCCAGGUAGAAUCGGGCUUCCCGCCCUCUCCCGCCGCUGUCCCGAAGCGGAGACGUGGAAGGAGCGAUGGACAGCGGAGCGCUGGAGGGACACAGGCCAGCCAAGCCCGCAGCGCCGCACUGGGGUUUAAAGGAGGCGCCUUGUGCGCAACGCGGCGCGCGUCCGGGAUGCAGGGUGUCCAGACCGGCCGCGGCUAAUUGAAAUCUCGCUCGACUGCAGCCAGCUCCAGGUCAGAAUUCUGGAUUCACUGAAGCCCCAUCCGUCUCUGCCACCAUGGAUGCCAGCUCCCCACAGAGACCCUGGGACACAUGGCUGAUGAACUGAGGAGUGAAGGUUUGAACCCACUGGCCUGGGACCGCGGAUCCUGCAGAACUUCACGAUGCACAGGACAGGCUCC
Molecule: long non-coding RNA, 466 nt
Organism: Choloepus didactylus (southern two-toed sloth)
Lineage: Eukaryota; Metazoa; Chordata; Mammalia; Pilosa; Megalonychidae
Exons: 3
Source: RefSeq, a predicted model, not a curated record